CAGAAGCAGGGGAUAACACUUGGAAACAGGUGCUAAUACCGUAUAACAACAAAAUCCGCAUGGAUUUUGUUUGAAAGGUGGCUUCGGCUAUCACUUCUGGAUGAUCCCGCGGCGUAUUAGUUAGUUGGUGAGGUAAAGGCCCACCAAGACGAUGAUACGUAGCCGACCUGAGAGGGUAAUCGGCCACAUUGGGACUGAGACACGGCCCAAACUCAUACGGGAGGCAGCAGUAGGGAAUCUUCCACAAUGGACGAAAGUCUGAUGGAGCAAUGCCGCGUGAGUGAAGAAGGGUUUCGGCUCGUAAAACUCUGUUGUUAAAGAAGAACACCUUUGAGAGUAACUGUUCAAGGGUUGACGGUAUUUAACCAGAAAGCCACGGCUAACUACGUGCCAGCAGCCGCGGUAAUACGUAGGUGGCAAGCGUUGUCCGGAUUUAUUGGGCGUAAAGCGAGCGCAGGCGGUUUUUUAAGUCUG
RNAcentral lists this ribosomal RNA (474 nucleotides) under Levilactobacillus brevis. RNAcentral describes it as "bacterial SSU rRNA". It matches the Rfam family "Bacterial small subunit ribosomal RNA", at positions 131 to 591 of the family's 1533-position model. The record is from RNAcentral. Lineage: Bacteria; Bacillati; Bacillota; Bacilli; Lactobacillales; Lactobacillaceae.